GACGAACGCUGGCGGCGUGCUUAACACAUGCAAGUCGAACGGAAAGGCCCUGCUUUUGUGGGGUGCUCGAGUGGCGAACGGGUGAGUAACACGUGAGUAACCUGCCCUUGACUUUGGGAUAACUUCAGGAAACUGGGGCUAAUACCGGAUAGGAGCUCCUGCUGCAUGGUGGGGGUUGGAAAGUUUCGGCGGUUGGGGAUGGACUCGCGGCUUAUCAGCUUGUUGGUGGGGUAGUGGCUUACCAAGGCUUUGACGGGUAGCCGGCCUGAGAGGGUGACCGGCCACAUUGGGACUGAGAUACGGCCAAGACUCCUACGGGAGGCAGCAGUGGGGAAUAUUGCACAAUGGGCGGAAGCCUGAUGCAGCAACGCCGCGUGCGGGAUGACGGCCUUCGGGGUGUAAACCGCUUUCGCCUGUGACGAAGCGUGAGUGACGGUAAUGGGUAAAGAAGCACCGGCUAACUACGUG
This 468-nucleotide ribosomal RNA is filed under the name uncultured bacterium. Its description in RNAcentral is "partial 16S ribosomal RNA". It matches the Rfam family "Bacterial small subunit ribosomal RNA", at positions 28 to 507 of the family's 1533-position model. The record is from RNAcentral.